RNAcentral lists this ribosomal RNA (497 nucleotides) under uncultured bacterium. RNAcentral describes it as "partial 16S ribosomal RNA". It matches the Rfam family "Bacterial small subunit ribosomal RNA", at positions 28 to 507 of the family's 1533-position model. The record is from RNAcentral.
GAUGAACGCUGGCGGCGUGCCUAAUACAUGCAAGUCGAGCGAACGGACGAGAAGCUUGCUUCUCUGAUGUUAGCGGCGGACGGGUGAGUAACACGUGGAUAACCUACCUAUAAGACUGGGAUAACUUCGGGAAACCGGAGCUAAUACCGGAUAAUAUUUUGAACCGCAUGGUUCAAAAGUGAAAGACGGUCUUGCUGUCACUUAUAGAUGGAUCCGCGCUGCAUUAGCUAGUUGGUAAGGUAACGGCUUACUAAGGCAACGAUGCAUAGCCGACCUGAGAGGGUGGUCGGCCACACUGGAACUGAGACACGGUCCAGACUGCUACGGGAGGCAGCAGUAGGGAAUCUUCCGCAAUGGGCGAAAGCCUGACGGAGCAACGCCGCGUGAGUGAUGAAGGUCUUCGGAUCGUAAAACUCUGUUAUUAGGGAAGAACAUAUGUGUAAGUAACUGUGCACAUCUUGACGGUACCUAAUCAGAAAGCCACGGCUAACUACGUG